Molecule: ribosomal RNA, 309 nt
Filed under: uncultured Clostridium sp.
Lineage: Bacteria; Bacillati; Bacillota; Clostridia; Eubacteriales; Clostridiaceae
Description: bacterial SSU rRNA
Rfam family: Bacterial small subunit ribosomal RNA
Source: RNAcentral
GACGAACGCUGGCGGCGUGCCUAACACAUGCAAGUCGAGCGAUGAAGUUUUCUUCGGAAAACGGAUUAGCGGCGGACGGGUGAGUAACACGUGAGUAACCUGCCUCAAAGAGGGGGAUAGCCUUCCGAAAGGAAGAUUAAUACCGCAUAAUAUCAGAUGACCGCAUGGUCGACUGAUUAAAGGAGUAAUCCGCUUUGAGAUGGACUCGCGGCGCAUUAGCUAGUUGGUAAGGUAACGGCUUACCAAGGCGACGAUGCGUAGCCGACCUGAGAGGGUGAUCGGCCACAUUGGGACUGAGACACGGCCCAG